UGGGGAAUUUUGCGCAAUGGACGAAAGUCUGACGCAGCAACGCCGCGUGGGUGAUGAAGGUCUUCGGAUUGUAAAACCCUGUCGUCGGGGACGAAGGUAGGGGGGUUAAUACCCCUUUUGCUUGACGGUACCCGGAGAGGAAGCCCCGGCUAACUCUGUGCCAGCAGCCGCGGUAAUACAGAGGGGGCAAGCGUUAUUCGGAAUUAUUGGGCGUAAAGGGCGCGUAGGCGGUAAUUUAAGUUGGAUGUGUAAUCCCCGAGCUCAACUUGGGAACUGCAUCCAAGACUGGAUUGCUAGAGUGCUGGAGAGGGUGGUGGAAUUCCUCGUGUAGCGGUGAAAUGCGUAGAGAUGAGGAGGAACACCAGUGGCGAAGGCGGCCACCUGGACAGUAACUGACGCUGAGGCGCGAAAGUGUGGGGAGCAAACAGG
RNAcentral lists this ribosomal RNA (429 nucleotides) under uncultured Geothrix sp. RNAcentral describes it as "bacterial SSU rRNA". It matches the Rfam family "Bacterial small subunit ribosomal RNA", at positions 355 to 776 of the family's 1533-position model. Lineage: Bacteria; Pseudomonadati; Acidobacteriota; Holophagae; Holophagales; Holophagaceae. The record is from RNAcentral.